AAAUUAUCUGCACUUUCUACAAUUAAUUAAGGUUAUACAAUAAAUGAGAGGAUUAAUGUGCAGUUUGGUUAUACUGAAACAGCCCAAGUCUACAAGGGUGUGGUCUUUCCUGGAUUAUAUUCUUGAUUUGCUGUUUCGUCUUCGCCUUGUAACAUCAUGCAGUUAAUUUUCAACCCAUGAGCGAGAGCAACUGGAUAUUUAUUUGAAUUCCACCGAAAUAAGAAAUUCUCUGCUACAGUAUCCUUUCUGGAGUUGGUUUACUUUUCGCACCUGUACACUUUGGAAUGUUACGUGCUAUAAUUAAUUAAGGUCGACGUUGGAGAAGACAAAGAU
This is a long non-coding RNA of Agrilus planipennis (emerald ash borer), 333 nucleotides long. RefSeq lists it as uncharacterized. The record is from RefSeq and is a predicted model, not a curated record. NCBI's taxonomy places the organism in Eukaryota, Metazoa, Arthropoda, Insecta, Coleoptera, Buprestidae. The transcript is spliced from 3 exons.